CGCGCAGGCGGUCUUGUAAGUCAGAUGUGAAAGCCCACGGCUUAACCGUGGAAGUGCAUUUGAAACUGUGAGACUUGAGUACCAGAGGGAAGGUGGAAUUCCCGGUGUAGAGGUGAAAUUCGUAGAUAUCGGGAGGAAUACCGGUGGCGAAGGCGACUUUCUGGCUGGAUACUGACGCUGAGGCGCGAAAGCGUGGGGAGCAAACA
Molecule: ribosomal RNA, 206 nt
Filed under: uncultured bacterium
Lineage: Bacteria
Description: partial 16S ribosomal RNA
Rfam family: Bacterial small subunit ribosomal RNA
Source: RNAcentral